Molecule: ribosomal RNA, 495 nt
Filed under: uncultured bacterium
Lineage: Bacteria
Description: partial 16S ribosomal RNA
Rfam family: Bacterial small subunit ribosomal RNA
Source: RNAcentral
GACGAACGCUGGCGGCGUGCCUAAUACAUGCAAGUAGAACGCUGAAGGAGGAGCUUGCUUCUCUGGAUGAGAUGCGAACGGGUGAGUAACGCGUAGGUAACCUGCCUGGUAGCGGGGGAUAACUAUUGGAAACGAUGGCUAAUACCGCAUAAGAGUAGGUGUCGCAUGACAUUUGCUUAAAAGGUGCAAUUGCAUCACUACCAGAUGGACCUGCGUUGUAUUAGCUAGUUGGUGAGGUAACGGCUCACCAAGGCAACGAUACAUAGCCGACCUGAGAGGGUGAUCGGCCACACUGGGACUGAGACACGGCCCAGACUCCUACGGGAGGCAGCAGUAGGGAAUCUUCGGCAAUGGACCGAAGUCUGACCGAGCAACGCCGCGUGAGUGAAGAAGGUUUUCGGAUCGUAAAGCUCUGUUGUAAGAGAAGAACGAGUGUGAGAGUGGAAAGUUCACACUGUGACGGUAUCUUACCAGAAAGGGAGGGCUAACUACGUG